GCCCAUUUUGGUAGUACAUAUACAAAAAUUGGGACAUUACAAAGAUUAGCAUGGCCCCUGUGCAAGAAUGACACAAAAAUCCAUGAAGCACUCCAUAUUUGG
Molecule: small nuclear RNA, 102 nt
Organism: Apodemus sylvaticus (European woodmouse)
Lineage: Eukaryota; Metazoa; Chordata; Mammalia; Rodentia; Muridae
Source: RefSeq, a predicted model, not a curated record